CACGAACAAUGCACAAUGAAAGAGUGGGCAUUGAGAAACAAUUUAUGAUUAUGAAAUGUUCCCCUUCAAACAUGCUCCACAAUACACCAUUCAAAAAGGAUAUUCAAGCGCUGCUUUUGAGGGAAAAGUGUGUCGAAGAGUUGCCACGGUUAUUAAACAACCUUGUGCCCAGUCAGAGAGUUGAGGACAGAGGAAUGGACAAUGCAUCCUCCUUAACACCCAGUGUCACACUAAGACUGAUGCAGGUCUAGUGACACAGGGAGGAUUGUGAAACAGACAGGGGGUGGAUUACUUGUUCAUUUUAAUCAGGCACCGUCUGGCAGUCCAAAGAAGUUGUACUCUGAACCGUCAUAUACUGCCGGAGAUAGGAGGCAGGGGCGAGGAGCCUACCCCUGUGCAGGACGGGACUCAACUGGUGAUGGUGGGGUGGUGGAGCUUGCCG
This is a long non-coding RNA of Xyrauchen texanus (razorback sucker), 442 nucleotides long. RefSeq lists it as uncharacterized. The transcript has 3 exons. NCBI's taxonomy places the organism in Eukaryota, Metazoa, Chordata, Actinopteri, Cypriniformes, Catostomidae. The record is from RefSeq and is a predicted model, not a curated record.